This 233-nucleotide ribosomal RNA is filed under the name uncultured bacterium. RNAcentral describes it as "partial 16S ribosomal RNA". It matches the Rfam family "Archaeal small subunit ribosomal RNA", at positions 745 to 977 of the family's 1478-position model. The record is from RNAcentral.
UCCUGGCUGUAAAUGAUGCGGGCUUGGUGUUGCGUAACCCACGAGGUUGCGCAGUGCCGUAGGGAAGCCGUUAAGUCCGCCGCCUGGGGAGUACGCCCGCAAGGGUUAAACUUAAACCAAUUGGCGGGGGAGUACUACAAGGGGUGGAGGCUGCGGUUCAAUCGGACGCAACGCCGAGAAUGUUACCGGGGGCGACAGCAGGAUGAAGGUCCGUCUGAAGGGCGUACCAGACA